CUACGGGUGGCAGCAGUGAGGAAUAUUGGUCAAUGGGCGCAAGCCUGAACCAGCCAUCCCGCGUGGAGGAAGACGGCCCUAUGGGUUGUAAACUCCUUUUAUAAGGGAAGAAUAUACUUAUCGUGAUAUGUUUUGACGGUACCUUAUGAAUAAGCAUCGGCUAACUCCGUGCCAGCAGCCGCGGUAAUACGGAGGAUGCAAGCGUUAUCCGGAUUCAUUGGGUUUAAAGGGUGCGCAGGCGGACCAAUAAGUCAGUGGUGAAAGCUUACGGCUCAACCGUGAAACUGCCAUUGAUACUGUUAGUCUUGAGUACGGCUGAGGUAGGUGGAAUGUGUAAUGUAGCGGUGAAAUGCUUAGAUAUUACACAGAACACCAAUUGCGUAGGCAGCUUACUAGCCCGUAACUGACGCUGAGGCACGAAAGCGUGGGUAGCGAACAGGAUUAGAUACCCCAGUAGUC
RNAcentral lists this ribosomal RNA (459 nucleotides) under uncultured bacterium. RNAcentral describes it as "partial 16S ribosomal RNA". It matches the Rfam family "Bacterial small subunit ribosomal RNA", at positions 339 to 795 of the family's 1533-position model. The record is from RNAcentral.